This 425-nucleotide ribosomal RNA is filed under the name uncultured bacterium. RNAcentral describes it as "partial 16S ribosomal RNA". It matches the Rfam family "Bacterial small subunit ribosomal RNA", at positions 354 to 796 of the family's 1533-position model. The record is from RNAcentral.
GUGGGGAAUAUUGGACAAUGGGCGAAAGCCUGAUCCAGCAAUGCCGCGUGAGUGAUGAAGGCCUUAGGGUUGUAAAGCUCUUUUACCAGGGAUGAUAAUGACAGUACCUGGAGAAUAAGCUCCGGCUAACUCCGUGCCAGCAGCCGCGGUAAUACGGAGGGAGCUAGCGUUGUUCGGAAUUACUGGGCGUAAAGCGCGCGUAGGCGGUUUAUCAAGUCAGGGGUGAAAUCCCGGGGCUCAACCCCGGAACUGCCCUUGAAACUGGUUCACUAGAAUCCUGGAGAGGCGAGUGGAAUUCCGAGUGUAGAGGUGAAAUUCGUAGAUAUUCGGAAGAACACCAGUGGCGAAGGCGACUCGCUGGACAGGUAUUGACGCUGAGGUGCGAAAGCGUGGGGAGCAAACAGGAUUAGAUACCCUAGUAGUCC